ACAAGUUUGAGAUAUUUAUUAUUUAUACAUGAUUUAACCUCAUUCCCGCCAGACCCAAACCUAUGAUCUAACCAAAGAUCCAAUUCUCUCUGUUUUGACUCUCAAUUGUCUCUCUCAAACUCUAGAUCCAAUUCAAUUUUGAAAUCAAACCCGAGAUUCUGUAAAUUUCUCCUUUCACCUCUUGAGUCGAUUUCAAAUCAUAAGAUGGUGGUUGAAACAAGGCGGAUAAGAAAAAAGAGAAUCCCACAAAAAAAAGUGGAGAAGAAGAAUGCAAACAAUGAAGAAGAAUCACGAGAUGGUGAUUCAGAUACAUAUGUUGAUGGUGGAGAAGAUCCACUGAAUCAUAGCACGUAGAGGUAAAAAAUUAGGAAUGAAAUGUGAUUUGUAGUUUCUAUUGGCAUUUUCAUUGUUUUGUGCAAGGGAAAGGUGUGUAGAACUAAGAACAGUGGGUAACACUAUCAGUAAUACUAGUAAAACCUUGGAACAUUAGAGAGUAUUGGAAUACCUUGGCAAAACUAUAUUGUAUUACUCGUAUAACUGAGGUAAAGUAAAUGUUACUUGCAGGAUUUUGAGGCAACUAAGGUAAUCAAACAAGAUAGGAUGUUCUUCUAUCUAACGUUUUACAAGAAACAGAUAAAGUUGGAGACAAGGUGUUUCAUAGUAGACGCUAUUGAGACGCUUGAGAAGCUGAAACCGGAGCUCACUGUUUUGGAGAGGAGCUUGUUUGAGGAGCGCAUCCUCAAUUCAGACAUUUUUGCCACGUGAAAAAGACUCAAACCACAAAGUCCAGAAAAUGUGGAUUCUUUUGUUGCGGACUGCCAAUAACUCGAAGCGAAAAGAAGUGUGGUUCAUUUUCAAUGGCUAUUACAUUAAAAAUGAAGCGUAUGAUAUAAAAAUUAGCAAUUCAACUAGCCAUUACAUUUUCUAAUACAAAAAACGAGGAUGUUAAUUCACAUGAGAUAAAAUUUAUAAAAUGAUGAAUCUUAUAAGCUUCCAUAUCAAACAUUCGCUUUUCAUAGAUGUUGAUGACAAAAUUGGUACUAUAUCUCUCUCUUUUUAGAACCAAUCUUUCAUAUGGUCUGUAUGAUCAUAGACUAAAGAACCAAUUCAUUUAAUAUUUUAACAGAAUUUAUUGUUUGUAUUUGGACCAAACAAUUAAAUUUUUUUUUUUUUAUGAAAUCUAUUUUUAAAUAAGCAUAAGAUUGGUUGCUUUCUAUAUUUGAACCAAAAAUAAUCAUCAAAUCAUCUAUAAUUAUAAUAUUGCUUUUAAACAAUACGAAUGAACCAAACAUAUUUAGAAGGCCUAUAAUCACAGAAUAUUUAAUACAAAAUCAUUUUUACAGGUUUAAAAGAAAGUAUUUACAACCGAUCAAUUUAAUCUCUACCAAAAUUUUCUUGGUAUCUAGAUAUUCUAAGCGUAUACCAGAAUAAUAUUUAUCAUAUUAACUGAAAUUAGGUCUGGCAAACGGGUCCUAAACGGGUUCCAUUCAGGUUCAUUCGGAUUUCGGAUUUUUGGGUUUAUGAAUUUUAGCCCCAUUCGGAUAAUAUAAAAGUUUGGGUCGGAUUUGGUUCAGGUUUAGUCGGGUUCGAUUUGGGUUUAGUUACAUGUCUAAGAUCCGGUUGAACCCAAAAUAGUUUUGGUUUCGGAUAUUAAUCAGGUUACCAGCUCCAAAAAUAUUGAUUUGCACUUGAUGUAACUCAAUAUAUUUCCAAUAUUUUCAAUAAAUUUGUGUGUAAGGCUUCCUCAAACCAUAUUGUUGUCCUCAAACCAUAUUAUAUAUUGUCCUUGGACUAUAUGUGACAAUUGACAUAUCAUGACAAGUAAACCUUGUACGAUGAGAAUCAUACAAUACAUAAUGAAACCUAAACAAAUUAGAAUUAACAAUUAACAACUAACAACUCUAUAACCAUAAAAACACUUUAAAGAACAACAUUGUUUAAACUUCAGAAGCAAACUUAUUUAUAAUUGAACUGUAAAUGCGAUUGUCAAAAUAUAGAAACACCAAUAUUGACCAAAUACCAAAACUAUAUAUAUAUAUAUAUAUAUAUAUUAAAAUAAGAAUAUGUGUUGAUUAGUCAUGUAAUAUACAAUUAUCUUAGGUACAAUAAUAUCUUAGUGUAUUUUGGAUACAUAUUAAUGACUAAGAUUGGGUAUGGUAUAAGUUCUUUUAGGAAUUUUGAAUUUUUCAGAUUUUCAGAUAUCUAUUUGGGUUCAGUUUGGAUAAAACUCAUAACCCAAAAUACCGUUAAACAAAAUCAAUUCAGCAUUUAUGUCGAGUUCGAAUCAGUUUGGAUUCAUUUUUAUCGGAUCAGAUUCGAUUCAGAUUUUCGGUUUUGGUUUAUUUGUCCAACCUUAAUUGAAAUCAUAAAAGAAAAUGUAAUAUAUUAAAAUUCUGAAAGUAGCACCAUUUUUUAUAUACUAUAAUGCAAGUCGUCUGGCAAAUCAGAGACUGACAUGUGGAAAAUGAGUUAAUAAAAUUAUGAGAAAAAUUAUUUAAACAAAAUAAUGUUUCAAACAGAAUUAAAAAAACAGGAACCGUAUAACAGUUUUAUUUAAGACAACCCAUGCUUCUUUUCUUUGUCCACGAUCCUUUUUUCAUACUCUAUAAUCUCUUAUAUUCGUUAAACAAACAAUAGAGAAAUUCCCAACUGAUUUGAAACAGAGAAUAUCAAACUCAUUUGAUCCUUCUUUAAUCUAAAAUCCCUUAAUUCAUAAUUGGGGCACUACAUAUAAAAUGUCACGACUCACGAGCCAAUGCAGAGUUCGAUUUCUAUUUAAUUGGAUCUUCUUCUUUUUGACAUUAUGUAACUGGAUCUUAACAACCUAUAUUUUCCAGUAACACUAUCUCCCUUCUUUGUACAUAUUUGUUAACUUCAACAGAGCACUACAUGGACAAGAAGAUUUCUUGAAAAAGUGGACAUGGUGGAUAUGAUUUGCAGGAGGUUCAACCAAAAAAGGAGACUAUAGGACAGAAAAAGAGAGAAAGAAGAGGAAGAUAGGAAACAUACGAAACAUGCAAACGUGGUAAUUGAAAAAAGGUAAAUGCGUUUUUAUUAAUUCACCACGAAAUGAUCAGAUUGAUAAAUUGUUUUCCUAUUGGUUUAUGCAUGGUCAUAGGGGCGAGAGGAAUAUGAAGUCUUGGAGAUGGAAACACCGCUGACAUGGGAAGGUUAAUUCAAUUCUAAGACAAAAUUAACAUAGGUAUAUUAUAUGGCAACUAUAUUUUGUAUUAUUGCAGUGUUUUUUUUUUGCUUAAUAUUACUGCAGUAUUGCAAUACACAAUUUGUUUUUUUUUAAUGUUUGAUAUAACAAUACACAUGCAAUGAUAAAUAGGUUAUUUUCACUCUAUUGCAUCAAUGAGAGAAUCAAAUUCGUCAACGAUUUUGUUGGAGUCUUUGUUCUUGAAAAUAUAUAUACAUGUCACUUUUUAGUUAUAGAUAAAGUAGCUUUUUGUCUGGAAAAAACGCCAUGUGUCGUCUUUUCAUUCGCUGUUAUUUACGAAUUGGGCUUUGUUUACUAAACCGUAUUCUGUGUUUUCUUUCGGGCCUAUCUCUAAAUAUAAUGCAUUGAGGCCCGAAAUCGCAUGUCGUCGUCUAGGUCGUAUCUUCAUCUUACGGCCGCCACUUUUUCCGAGAUGAAAGUCGAUGAUAACGCCAUGGACGUUACAACGUUUCAUCUUGCUCACGUUACAACGUUUCAUCUUGCUCUUCUUUACUUACUGUUAAUUCGUGAUUUCCCCACUCCUCAGCAUUCAAUCCGACUCCUUCUCUUCCCGUAGGUACUCACUAGAGCUUCGGGUAUAAAUACCUCCUCAUCCAGACAUGAGCAUCACAACUUCAACGAGAACCAGAAGAUCACUCUGUUCAAUUUCCGGUUAUUACAAUGGCGAAUUCCCAAGUCCUUCUUGCUGAUUUGAAAGCAGGACACUGCUCCAACGUUGCGGAGGUCUGGUUGCUGCGAUUCUGGGAAGCCAGAAAUGUGAGGAAAGGCGGUGAACUGACGAUUGUUAACAUGCUCUUUGUCGAUGAGAAUAGUUCAAGGAAAGGUUUGCUUGUGUCCUACCCGCAUCGAGCUUUUACCAACGUAAUGCGGUGAACAAGGUUAGAUUUCAAGUGUGAUUAGUUUGUAUUGAUCUUUUCCUCAUUUAAAAUGAACUCCGUGACUUUAUUAAAAAGCAGAAAGAAGCAGCUUUAUAAAGGUUUUUAGUAUGUAUACUAGAAUAAGGGUGGAUAGGAGAAGUAAGAUUGGAGAAUAUUAGUUGAUUUUCAGACUUAAUUUUGUUUGGAUGUUGCUUUUAAAUGACCAAACCAGAGACUUAAGACAUGUAUGUGUGCCAUCAUGAUGCUCUGAUUGUGUUACGGCCCGUAAGUUUUCAUUUCUUUUUUUUGUUAGUUAAACACGUGAAAGCUAAAUGUUAAUAAGUUCGAUUUAGAGUUGUAAACAAAAUUCAAAGUUAUAAUAUUCCAUAUAGUUGUAUAGGCUAUUGACUUUUAAAUAUUCCCUCGGUUACAGCAUUGAAGACGUUCACCCAAACGGUGGAAUCAAGAAAUUCAAAUCUUCUGUCUACUCCAACUUUGUAUUUUCCUUUCGUCUAAGAUCAAAACUGGUUCCCCAAUCCAAUCGUUCUCAAAGUCAUGCGCUCAUACAACAAGAUGAGAUGAAUUUGUCUGCAAAUCGGUUUCAAAGGUUACGAGAAGUAGCUCGAGGUCAUCUUUCAAGACUCCAAGGGAUUUGGUCUCUGUGCUCUGAUCAAGUCGCAGUUGGACUAAAAACUCACUCCUGCUGCAUGUGCGAUCGUGCUCUGAGUCCUUUUUCUUUGUCUACCCCCAUCAAGACUUCUUCAUCUUCACAUCUGAGUGAGAGCGGGAGCAAGGCUGCAGACCCAGUUGGGACAUCACCAGAGCCUACAACUAAGAAGCCAAUGAGGUGUACCAAUCUUGAGUAGACGUUAUAGUGGCUCUCAAUUAUCGUUCAGCCCAGCUGUCAUCUAUCAUAUUUUCAUAGUUUCUGCUUCCAGUUUUACAAUUGUAAGGCUUAUUAGGUCUCUGUCUAUGCAAAUAUUUGGGCUUUGAUAUUUUAAAAUUAAACACUUAUACA
This is a long non-coding RNA of Brassica napus (rape), 5098 nucleotides long. RefSeq lists it as uncharacterized. Lineage: Eukaryota; Viridiplantae; Streptophyta; Magnoliopsida; Brassicales; Brassicaceae. The transcript has 3 exons. The record is from RefSeq and is a predicted model, not a curated record.